Molecule: ribosomal RNA, 467 nt
Filed under: Streptococcus anginosus
Lineage: Bacteria; Bacillati; Bacillota; Bacilli; Lactobacillales; Streptococcaceae
Description: bacterial SSU rRNA
Rfam family: Bacterial small subunit ribosomal RNA
Source: RNAcentral
GACGAACGCUGGCGGCGUGCCUAAUACAUGCAAGUAGGACGCACAGUUUAUACCGUAGCUUGCUACACCAUAGACUGUGAGUUGCGAACGGGUGAGUAACGCGUAGGUAACCUGCCUAUUAGAGGGGGAUAACUAUUGGAAACGAUAGCUAAUACCGCAUAACAGUAUGUAACACAUGUUAGAUGCUUGAAAGAUGCAAUUGCAUCGCUAGUAGAUGGACCUGCGUUGUAUUAGCUAGUAGGUAGGGUAAUGGCCUACCUAGGCGACGAUACAUAGCCGACCUGAGAGGGUGAUCGGCCACACUGGGACUGAGACACGGCCCAGACUCCUACGGGAGGCAGCAGUAGGGAAUCUUCGGCAAUGGGGGGAACCCUGACCGAGCAACGCCGCGUGAGUGAAGAAGGUUUUCGGAUCGUAAAGCUCUGUUGUUAAGGAAGAACGAGUGUGAGAAUGGAAAGUUCAUACUG